This 736-nucleotide ribosomal RNA is filed under the name Bacillus altitudinis. RNAcentral's name for it is "bacterial SSU rRNA". It matches the Rfam family "Bacterial small subunit ribosomal RNA", at positions 578 to 1314 of the family's 1533-position model. The record is from RNAcentral. Lineage: Bacteria; Bacillati; Bacillota; Bacilli; Caryophanales; Bacillaceae.
GUUUCUUAAGUCUGAUGUGAAAGCCCCCGGCUCAACCGGGGAGUGUCAUUGGAAACUGGGAAACUUGAGUGCAGAAGAGGAGAGUGGAAUUCCACGUGUAGCGGUGAAAUGCGUAGAGAUGUGGAGGAACACCAGUGGCGAAGGCGACUCUCUGGUCUGUAACUGACGCUGAGGAGCGAAAGCGUGGGGAGCGAACAGGAUUAGAUACCCUGGUAGUCCACGCCGUAAACGAUGAGUGCUAAGUGUUAGGGGGUUUCCGCCCCUUAGUGCUGCAGCUAACGCAUUAAGCACUCCGCCUGGGGAGUACGGUCGCAAGACUGAAACUCAAAGGAAUUGACGGGGGCCCGCACAAGCGGUGGAGCAUGUGGUUUAAUUCGAAGCAACGCGAAGAACCUUACCAGGUCUUGACAUCCUCUGACAACCCUAGAGAUAGGGCUUUCCCUUCGGGGACAGAGUGACAGGUGGUGCAUGGUUGUCGUCAGCUCGUGUCGUGAGAUGUUGGGUUAAGUCCCGCAACGAGCGCAACCCUUGAUCUUAGUUGCCAGCAUUCAGUUGGGCACUCUAAGGUGACUGCCGGUGACAAACCGGAGGAAGGUGGGGAUGACGUCAAAUCAUCAUGCCCCUUAUGACCUGGGCUACACACGUGCUACAAUGGACAGAACAAAGGGCUGCGAGACCGCAAGGUUUAGCCAAUCCCACAAAUCUGUUCUCAGUUCGGAUCGCAGUCUGCAACUCG